This 166-nucleotide microRNA precursor is filed under the name Oryza brachyantha (malo sina). Its description in RNAcentral is "MIR812 microRNA precursor family". It matches the Rfam family "MIR812 microRNA precursor family", at positions 27 to 187 of the family's 205-position model. The record is from Rfam by way of RNAcentral. Lineage: Eukaryota; Viridiplantae; Streptophyta; Magnoliopsida; Poales; Poaceae.
UAUAAUACUUUGACUCUUCGUCUUAUUUAAAAUUUUUAUACGAUUAAUAUUUUUAUUGUAACUAGAUGAUAAAACAUGAAUAGUAAUUUAUACGUGACUAUUUUUUUUAAGUUUUUGUACAAUUUUUUUUUAAAUAAGACAAAUGGUCAAACUUUGGACAUAGAAA